AACGCAUAUUGCGCUCUUUGGUAUUCCGAAGAGCAUGCUUGUUUGAGUAUCAGUAAACACCUCAAAGACUUCAAUUUGUUUUGAAUGGCUUUGGACUUGAGCAAUCCCAACACCAGUCUUUACGAUCGGCGGAGGGUUGCUUGAAAUGCAGGUGCAGCUGGACAUUCUCCUGAGCUAUAAGCAUAUUUAUUUAGUCCCGUCAAACGGAUUAUUACUUUUGCUGCAGCUAACAUAAAGGGAGUCUGACCGUAUUGGCUGACUGAUGCAGGAUUUCACAAGGGUCGGCAACGAUUCUUGUAAAACUCGAUCUCAAAUCAAGUAAGACUACCCGCUGAACUUAA
Molecule: unclassified non-coding RNA, 341 nt
Filed under: uncultured Mortierella
Lineage: Eukaryota; Fungi; Mortierellomycota; Mortierellomycetes; Mortierellales; Mortierellaceae
Description: sequence contains ITS2
Source: RNAcentral